This 253-nucleotide ribosomal RNA is filed under the name uncultured bacterium. RNAcentral describes it as "partial 16S ribosomal RNA". It matches the Rfam family "Bacterial small subunit ribosomal RNA", at positions 524 to 776 of the family's 1533-position model. The record is from RNAcentral.
UACGUAGGGUCCGAGCGUUGUCCGGAAUUAUUGGGCGUAAAGAGCUCGUAGGCGGUUCGUCGCGUCGGCUGUGAAAACCUGAGGCUCAACCUCAGGCCUGCAGUCGAUACGGGCGGACUUGAGUACUGCAGGGGAGACUGGAAUUCCUGGUGUAGCGGUGAAAUGCGCAGAUAUCAGGAGGAACACCGGUGGCGAAGGCGGGUCUCUGGGCAGUAACUGACGCUGAGGAGCGAAAGCGUGGGGAGCGAACAGG